RNAcentral lists this ribosomal RNA (624 nucleotides) under Anatololacerta sp. CI-2014a. RNAcentral describes it as "partial 16S ribosomal RNA". The record is from RNAcentral. Lineage: Eukaryota; Metazoa; Chordata; Lepidosauria; Squamata; Lacertidae.
GGAAGACCUAAAAAUAGUGGCAAAAAGCCAACCGAGCUUGGUGAUAGCUGGUUACUCAACAAAUGAACUUUAGUUCAACUUUAGGUGCCCAUGGGCCAACUACUUUAACCCACCACCCUUUAACCUAAAGAAAUUCAAUGGGGGUACAGCCCCAUUGAACCGGAAUACAACCCGAACUGAGAGACACCUACUAAACUUUAACCCUAACAGUAGGCCCCAAAGCAGCCACCAACUAAACGCGUUACAGCUACAACAAAACAAUUUUUACAAUAAUAUACACCUCCUAGUAUACCACGAGUUAUUCUAUUUUUUAAUAGAAACACCAAUGCUAAAAUUAGUAAUAAGAAACCCUAAUUUCUCUCCGCACCCCCUUAAAUCAGAAUAGAAAAACUACUGAUAAUUAACACAACACGACCUACAACAACUAGCUAACAUGUCAACUAAACUCUGUUACCCCAACACAGGAGUGCAAAAAAGAAAGGCAAAAAGCCAUAAAAGGAACUCGGCAAACCCUACCGUCCCAACUGUUUACCAAAAACAUAGCCUUUAGCUCAACAAGUAUUAAAGGUCCCGCCUGCCCAGUGACUCUUUAAACGGCCGCGGUAUCCUAACCGUGCAAAGGUA